RNAcentral lists this signal recognition particle RNA (98 nucleotides) under Planctomycetota bacterium. Its description in RNAcentral is "signal recognition particle sRNA small type". It matches the Rfam family "Bacterial small signal recognition particle RNA". From Rfam's summary of the family: The signal recognition particle (SRP) is a universally conserved ribonucleoprotein involved in the co-translational targeting of proteins to membranes. Archaeal SRP consists of a 7S RNA and homologues of the eukaryotic SRP19 and SRP54 proteins. In most bacteria, the SRP consists of a 4.5S RNA and the Ffh protein (a homologue of the eukaryotic SRP54 protein). The record is from RNAcentral. Lineage: Bacteria; Pseudomonadati; Planctomycetota.
GGCCGGGUCCCAUGCAAGCUGAGACCGUGAAUCUGGUCAGGCGGGGAACCGAGCAGCCAUAAACGCACCCUUGGUUGUGCGUGGCAAACCCGGCCACC